UGUUGGCAGAGUGUACGUACAC
This 22-nucleotide non-coding RNA is filed under the name Arabidopsis thaliana (thale cress). The record is from RNAcentral. Lineage: Eukaryota; Viridiplantae; Streptophyta; Magnoliopsida; Brassicales; Brassicaceae.